UUUGAAUGGUAUUUGAGAGGAAGCUAAACAAGUUGUUAAUAUUGUAAUUUGAAAAACUUUAUUACAUCUAUUGACUUUGUAAAAACUAGACGAGGAUGUUAACCAUAAGAUUCGCCUGAUGAAGCUGAAAUAAAUCAGCGAAACGUUGCAAUUCUUAUAA
Long non-coding RNA from Cotesia glomerata, 160 nucleotides. RefSeq lists it as uncharacterized. The record is from RefSeq and is a predicted model, not a curated record. NCBI's taxonomy places the organism in Eukaryota, Metazoa, Arthropoda, Insecta, Hymenoptera, Braconidae. The transcript has 2 exons.